GCUUGCACCUCGCUGACGAGCGGCGGACGGGUGAGUAAUGCAUAGGAAACUGCCCAGUAGUGGGGGAUAGCCCGGGGAAACCCGGAUUAAUACCGCAUACGCCCUUUGGGGGAAAGCAGGGGAUCUUCGGACCUUGCGCUAUUGGAUGUGCCUAUGUCGGAUUAGCUAGUUGGUGGGGUAAGAGCCUACCAAGGCGACGAUCCGUAGCUGGUCUGAGAGGAUGAUCAGCCACAUCGGGACUGAGACACGGCCCGAACUCCUACGGGAGGCAGCAGUGGGGAAUAUUGGACAAUGGGGGCAACCCUGAUCCAGCCAUGCCGCGUGUGUGAAGAAGGCUUUCGGGUUGUAAAGCACUUUCAGUGAGGAGGAAAACCCUGCGAUUAAUACUCGUACAGCUUGACGUUACUCACAGAAGAAGCACCGGCUAACUCCGUGCCA
This 438-nucleotide ribosomal RNA is filed under the name Marinobacter sp. RNAcentral's name for it is "bacterial SSU rRNA". It matches the Rfam family "Bacterial small subunit ribosomal RNA", at positions 78 to 510 of the family's 1533-position model. The record is from RNAcentral. Lineage: Bacteria; Pseudomonadati; Pseudomonadota; Gammaproteobacteria; Pseudomonadales; Marinobacteraceae.